UGGUGGCGAGUGGCGAACGGGUGAGUAAUACAUCGGAACGUGUCCUGUAGUGGGGGAUAGCCCGGCGAAAGCCGGAUUAAUACCGCAUACGCUCUACGGAGGAAAGGGGGGGAUCUUAGGACCUCCCGCUACAGGGGCGGCCGAUGGCAGAUUAGCUAGUUGGUGGGGUAAAGGCCUACCAAGGCGACGAUCUGUAGCUGGUCUGAGAGGACGACCAGCCACACUGGGACUGAGACACGGCCCAGACUCCUACGGGAGGCAGCAGUGGGGAAUUUUGGACAAUGGGGGCAACCCUGAUCCAGCAAUGCCGCGUGUGUGAAGAAGGCCUUCGGGUUGUAAAGCACUUUUGUCCGGAAAGAAAACGCCGUGGUUAAUACCCGUGGCGGAUGACGGUACCGGAAGAAUAAGCACCGGCUAACUACGUGCCAGCAGCCGCGGUAAUACGUAGGGUGCAAGCGUUAAUCGGAAUUACUGGGCGUAAAGCGUGCGCAGGCGGUCCGCUAAGACAGAUGUGAAAUCCCCGGGCUUAACCUGGGA
Molecule: ribosomal RNA, 537 nt
Filed under: Burkholderia sp. LC12
Lineage: Bacteria; Pseudomonadati; Pseudomonadota; Betaproteobacteria; Burkholderiales; Burkholderiaceae
Description: bacterial SSU rRNA
Rfam family: Bacterial small subunit ribosomal RNA
Source: RNAcentral